GGCUGCAUGGUUGUCGUCAGCUCGUGCCGUGAGGUGUCGGGUUAAGGUCCCAUAACGAGCGCAACCCCUACCUUAGUUGCCAUCAGGUUAAGCUGGGGACUCUAAAGGAACUGCCUACGCAAGUAGUGAGGAAGGCGGGGAGUGACGUCAAAUCAGCACGGCCCUUACGUCCAGGGCUACACACGUGCUACAAUGGCCGAUACAGAGGGCAGCUACCUGGUGACAGGAUGCAAAAUCUCCAAAGUCGGUCUCAGUUCGGAUCGGAGUCUGCAACCCGACUCCGUGAAGUUGGAUUCGCUAGUAAUCGCGCAUCAGCCAUGGCGCGGUGAAUACGUUCCCGGGCCUU
This 346-nucleotide ribosomal RNA is filed under the name uncultured Sphingobacteriales bacterium. Its description in RNAcentral is "bacterial SSU rRNA". It matches the Rfam family "Bacterial small subunit ribosomal RNA", at positions 1039 to 1382 of the family's 1533-position model. Lineage: Bacteria; Pseudomonadati; Bacteroidota; Sphingobacteriia; Sphingobacteriales. The record is from RNAcentral.